This 224-nucleotide long non-coding RNA is filed under the name Vitis vinifera (wine grape). Its description in RNAcentral is "long non-coding RNA (VVIN_LNC005033)". Lineage: Eukaryota; Viridiplantae; Streptophyta; Magnoliopsida; Vitales; Vitaceae. The record is from RNAcentral.
GUUGAGAUAUUAGGAAUGCUUUCCUUAUAUCAUUCUUUCCUUGUAUCAUUUAGUGUUGAGAUAUUAGGAAUGUUUAGAUAUUAGGAAAGUUGAGAUAUUAGGAAUAUUGAGUUAUUAGGAUAUUAGUUGUUAUUUCCUUAUAUCAUUCUUUCCUUGUAUCAUUCUUUCCCAUUCUUAGAAUGGUGAUUACCCUCUAUAUAUACUCUGUACAUGAACGAAUGAAA